AUCGAACGCUGGCGGCAGGCUUAACACAUGCAAGUCGAGCGGAUGAAGGGAGCUUGCUCCUGGAUUCCGCGGCGGACGGGUGAGUAAUGCCUAGGAAUCUGCCUGCCAGUGGGUGAUAAUGUCCGGAAACGGGCGCUAAUACCGCAUCCGUCCUGAGGGCGAAAGUGGGUGAUCUUCGGACCUCAUGCUAUCAGAUGAGUCUAGGUCCGAUUGGUUAGUUGGUGGGGUAAAGACCUACCAAGCCAGCAAUUGGUAACUUGUCUGAGUGGAUGAUCAGUGACAUUGGAACUGAAACUCAGUCCAUAGUCCUACGAGAGGCAACAGUAGCGAAUAUUGGGCAGUGGGAGAAAGUCUGCCACAGCCAGGCCACGUCUGUGAAAAAAGCCUUCGGAUUGUAAAGCACUUCAAGUGGGGAGGAAGGGCAGUCAGUUGAUACCUAGCUUGUUUGACGGUAACGACAAAAAAAGCAACGGCUAACUUCGUG
This 484-nucleotide ribosomal RNA is filed under the name uncultured bacterium. RNAcentral describes it as "partial 16S ribosomal RNA". It matches the Rfam family "Bacterial small subunit ribosomal RNA", at positions 30 to 507 of the family's 1533-position model. The record is from RNAcentral.